RNAcentral lists this long non-coding RNA (1158 nucleotides) under Equus caballus (horse). RNAcentral's name for it is "lncRNA (ENSECAG00000060109.1)". The record is from RNAcentral. Lineage: Eukaryota; Metazoa; Chordata; Mammalia; Perissodactyla; Equidae.
CUACAGAGAGAACUGGAUGAGAUAAUUCAGGAGCAGGGCUGGCACAGAGCAAAUGCUCAUUCCUUAAGUCUUGAUCAGAGACAAUUAUGACAAAUUGCUUUCACUUUCUAUUUCUGUUGACUUCCACGACAGCCCUAUCUGGCAAAUAUUAUAAUCCCCAUUUUACAGAUGGGGAAACUGAGGCUCAGAGAGCUCAAGUGAUUUGCCCAAGCAGUGCUAGUAAGUGACGGAGCUGCGACUCAGACACUCGCUGGCCUGACUGCUGAGUCUGUGUUCUUCUAGCGACAGAAACCACACGGGGCCUGGAAGUCAAGGUCACCAAGAAUGCUGACUGGCUUCUAGAAGAUAAAGAAAAUGAGAAUCUCAGCCAUAAAAAAAGACAAAGCCAUGCCAUUUUCAAGAACAUGGAUGGACCUUGAGGUUUCAUGUGCAGCCAGCAACCGUAGAAUUAUGAGGCCCUGAAACUGCUUCACAAAUAACCAAGAGGGCUGAGUUCCUGAGGAAGGAAGAAAUUGCAUAAUAAAACAAUCCGAAAACUCCCCUCUUGUUCUGGUCUUAGGGAGUGGCACAAAUUCAAAGCUUCAGGACGGCCCCUCCCUGGCUCUGCGGCGCAUCUCCCACCUUUGAACAGCCAGAGAGCACUUUCUCCCAGGGUCACCAACUUGUCCCAGUUUGCCUGGGACCGUCCCAGUUUUAAAAUCGAAAAUCCAAUAUUCCAAGACCCCCCCGCCUUGGUCCUAGGCAAACCAGGACAGUUGGUCACCCCACUCUCACUGUACUUUUAAUAUUUUCUGCCUUAAAAAUUCCUUGGUGAUUAAGAAUUUAGGCUCUAGAGUCAGACAGACCACAGCUGAGUUCUGCUUCUAACCCUGAUCAGCUGUGCAGCAUCAGUUUACAAGACCUGGAACAUUGGGUUACAUCAAAGUAAGGAUGGAGCUGAUGAAAGGACAGCAAUUGGGCAUCUACAUUGACGGUGACCGAGAGUGAAGCUUGUACCAACUUGUUUCAGAACUUCCACUUUCGUCAGACCGGUGUCACAUGCGGGUCUCCUCAAAAGCUGAGGCCCUUGCUUGCUCAUCACUGCAUUCCUCAAAUCUUCAGGGCAACGCGACGAUCAACGCUCACCAGCACUCACUGAUGUGGACAGUGCGCGAACAG